GAUGAACGCUGGCGGCGUGCCUAACACAUGCAAGUCGAACGGAGUCCAGCCUUUAAGACCUUCGGGUCAAAGAGGGGAAGACUGAGUGGCGGACGGGUGAGUAACACGUGGGCAACCUGGCUCAUAGAGGGGGAUAACAGAGAGAAAUUUCUGCUAAUACCGCAUAAGCACACACUGCCGCAUGGCAGAGGGUGAAAAGAGAAUCGCUAUGAGAUGGACCCGCGUCUGAUUAGCCAGUUGGCAGGGUAAGAGCCUACCAAAGCGACGAUCAGUAGCCGUUCUGAGAGGAUGAACGGCCACAUUGGGACUGAGACACGGCCCAAACUCCUACGGGAGGCAGCAGUGGGGGAUAUUGCACAAUGGGGGGAACCCUGAUGCAGCGACGCCGCGUGAGUGAAGAAGUAUUUCGGUAUGUAAAGCUCUAUCAGCAGGGAAGAUAAUGACAGUACCUGAAUAAGAAGCCCCGGCUAACUACGUG
RNAcentral lists this ribosomal RNA (478 nucleotides) under uncultured bacterium. RNAcentral describes it as "partial 16S ribosomal RNA". It matches the Rfam family "Bacterial small subunit ribosomal RNA", at positions 28 to 507 of the family's 1533-position model. The record is from RNAcentral.